CUACGGGAGGCUCCAGUGGGGAAUAUUGGACAAUGGGGGAAACCCUGAUCCAGCAAUGCCGCGUGUGUGAAGAAGGCCUGCGGGUUGUAAAGCACUUUCGGUUGGGAGGACUGCUUCUAGCACUAAUAUUGUUGGAAGUUGACGUUACCUUCAGAAGAAGCACCGGCUAACUCCGUGCCAGCAGGCCGCGGUAAUACGGAGGGUGCAAGCGUUAAUCGGAAUUACUGGGCGUAGAGCGCGCGUAGGCGGCUAGAUCAGUCGGGUGUGAAAGCCCCGGGCUUAACCUGGGAACUGCAUCCGAUACUGUCUAGCUUGAGUACAGGAGAGGAGAGUGGAAUUCCACAUGUAGCGGUGAAAUGCGUAGAUAUGUGGAGGAACACCAAUGGCGAAGGCAGCUCUCUGGCCUGAUACUGACGCUGAGGUGCGAAAGCGUGGGGAGCAAACAGGAUUAGAUACCCCGGUAGUC
Molecule: ribosomal RNA, 466 nt
Filed under: uncultured bacterium
Lineage: Bacteria
Description: partial 16S ribosomal RNA
Rfam family: Bacterial small subunit ribosomal RNA
Source: RNAcentral